This 497-nucleotide ribosomal RNA is filed under the name uncultured bacterium. Its description in RNAcentral is "partial 16S ribosomal RNA". It matches the Rfam family "Bacterial small subunit ribosomal RNA", at positions 28 to 507 of the family's 1533-position model. The record is from RNAcentral.
GAUGAACGCUGGCGGCGUGCCUAAUACAUGCAAGUCGAGCGAACAGACGAGGAGCUUGCUCCUCUGACGUUAGCGGCGGACGGGUGAGUAACACGUGGAUAACCUACCUAUAAGACUGGGAUAACUUCGGGAAACCGGAGCUAAUACCGGAUAAUAUAUUGAACCGCAUGGUUCAAUAGUGAAAGACGGUUUUGCUGUCACUUAUAGAUGGAUCCGCGCCGCAUUAGCUAGCUGGUAAGGUAGCGGCUUACCAAGGCAACGAUGCGUAGCCGACCUGAGAGGGUGAUCGGCCACACUGGAACUGAGACACGGUCCAGACUCCUACGGGAGGCAGCAGUAGGGAAUCUUCCGCAAUGGGCGAAAGCCUGACGGAGCAACGCCGCGUGAGUGAUGAAGGUCUUCGGAUCGUAAAACUCUGUUAUUAGGGAAGAACAAAUGUGUAAGUAACUAUGCACGUCUUGACGGUACCUAAUCAGAAAGCCACGGCUAACUACGUG